This is a long non-coding RNA of Cyprinus carpio (common carp), 2240 nucleotides long. RefSeq lists it as uncharacterized. Lineage: Eukaryota; Metazoa; Chordata; Actinopteri; Cypriniformes; Cyprinidae. The transcript is spliced from 2 exons. The record is from RefSeq and is a predicted model, not a curated record.
UUGGUCAGACUCACGGAGGAUAAUGAGCUGGCGUCGCUCGCCCGGGGUCACUCCACGUUCUGAUUGGUCGAAAUCAGUAACCAAUAGGAAUCCGACGUGGAGAGCGAGAGCAAUGAGGCGAGCGGCAAAUUCAAGCAAAAUACCAAAGACUGGUUACAAUGUCUUAAAAACGUAAAUAUUCCUUUGCAAGCUAGCACAGGAUUCCGACCUGGAGCCAGUUACUGUGUGGCCGAGGUCUUUAACAACGUCAAUCAGAAGAGGAGGAGGAUUUGAUUGGUUGGCACGUUGCCAGUGUAUUGUCAGUCACCGAGUGUAAACAAGACUCUGAUUGGCUGCUCGCCAGUCCUCAUUGGGCUAUCUGGAAAAAAAAGGAAGAAAUAACUGGAUCUGCGGUUUCAAGGCGUCCCAGGUUAGAAAUGAUGAAAACAGAUAAGAAGGAACUGUUUCAAGGCGCUCCAAAAGGCGGACCCUCUGUGGCCCUGGAGCCGUACUCGGAGGACGCGAGAAGACGUAGAGAAAGAAAUGUUCGAUGUGCUGAAGGAUUCAAAUUUGUUGCGCAGUAUCUGGAACAGAUAAACAUGAAACAGUCACAUGGCGGAUCUCGGAGCACAACGGUAAGAAUGAAGAAAAACGGGAAAAAGAAGAGUUUGGAUCAGCUUUACUCGAACCGUUUUAUUCUGAGCGAUAGAUGAAUUAAGCAUAAAGCCCGACAGAACCGAAAAAGGGAUACACAAAAACGCUACGCUAAGAUAUUGUGAUAUAUAAAAGGGUUACAAAAAAAGGGGAAGGAAAUAUGUAUCAUUUGUGUUGACAUUCUUUACUUCAAUCUGUUUCGUUGAAAGGUAUGUGCUCUUAUCUAAGAGGAAAUGUGCUUAUAUAUAGUAGACUAUUUUAAUUUUGGCUUAAUAAUGUUUGAGAUUUACAGGAUACAUAAAAUUGUCUCAUGCACAGCUCUUUGGGCAAAAUUCUAUAAAAUUCUAUUAUUUUUUUUCUACCAAAUCUGACCUUGUAGAGUGGUGUAGUGACGUGUAUACAGAUAUGUGUACUGAGAAACAUUUAAUACUUGUAUUUUUUUUCUCUCUCUCCAUUGUUGUUACCAUAUGUCAGCAUGAAUUAUGUACAGAAUUGUAGUGAAAAUAUAUGUAGAUACAGAAUGAGCAAUUUACGAAUAGAAAGAAGAAAAUAUCAAGAAAAUGACAGGUCUCUGAUUGACAGUCCAGCUCUGUCUCAAGGAAGCAAGAACUGAUUCUCUGAAACACAAAAGGGUUUGUGUGUGUGUGUGUGUGUGUGUGUGUGUGUGUGUGUGUGUGUGUGUGUGUGUGUGUGUGUGUGUGUGUGUGUGUGUGUGUGUGUGUAAACCACGUUUUUGUGUUUAUAUACCAAAUGCUUUUUACAAAUCACUCAUUAAGAUAUAAUAAUAAUAAUAAUAAUAAUAAUAAUAAUAAUAAUAAUAAUAAUAAUGCUACAUCAUGCAAUAGGUCCACCUUGGAAAUUGAGCCCGAACAUUGUUUUCCAUUUUGAGUUUAUGCAAAACAAAUGCAAUUAUUUUUAUCAAAUAAAAUAAAAUAAAAACCUGCUUUGUCUGUCUUUGCUUAGCUAGUUUUAACUGCUUUGUCUUUACAGUUCAGAUUUUUUUGUGUGUUUUACUGUAAUUCAUUGUUACUGUUAAUACAGAGAUCUGUUACUACAAGAAAGAAAGAAAGAAAGAAAGAAAGAAAGAAAGAAAGAAAGAAAAAGAAAGAAAGAAGAAAAAAUCAGCAUACAGAGAGCAAUGUUUGUGUGUGUGUCUGUGUCCCAUUCAUGUCGGUUGUAUUAAAAAAUGGAUGCAUUAAAAAAAAAACAAUGGAGAGGACUGCAUAGGCCCAAACACCUAACUGAAGUGUUUGCGUCUGGUAAAGGCUGCUCUAAAGUGCAUAGAGAGGAAAAAAGGAUUUCCUGAUGAUGCCACUUCAAAGCCAUUUUUACAAAUGAUAAUUUCUCUGUGUUAGGUCUGAAUUUAAAUGUAGCAUGGGGUAAUUUAGUCCACAUUGGUUGCUGAUAAAUGAAAUAAAUAAAUAAAUAAAUACAUAAAUAAAUAAAUAAAUAAUGUUUGUUUUAUACUCUUCAGUGAAAAUAUGGUUGAUGAAACAUGAAAUGUUGAAAACAUAAUGUAUUUGGUGUGAUAUUACAGAGGUGGGAAAUCUACGUGCAGUUAUCAUAUACAAUAUGUAACCAUGGAUGCAAUAAAUACUUUAAUUUGA